GACGAGGGGUCCUAGCGUUGUUCGGAAUCACUGGGCGUAAAGCGUAUGUAGGCGGCUCUAUAAGUCAGGUGUGAAAGCCCUGGGCUCAACCCAGGAAGGGCACUUGAUACUGUAGAGCUUGAGUAUGAGAGGGAGUAGUAGAAUUCUUGGUGUAGUGGUGAAAUACGUAGAUAUCAAGAGGAAUACCGGUGGCGAAGGCGGCUACUUGGCUCAAUACUGACGCUGAGAUACGAAAGUGCGGGGAUCAAACAGG
RNAcentral lists this ribosomal RNA (253 nucleotides) under uncultured bacterium. Its description in RNAcentral is "partial 16S ribosomal RNA". It matches the Rfam family "Bacterial small subunit ribosomal RNA", at positions 524 to 776 of the family's 1533-position model. The record is from RNAcentral.